RNAcentral lists this ribosomal RNA (610 nucleotides) under uncultured eukaryote. RNAcentral describes it as "bacterial SSU rRNA". It matches the Rfam family "Eukaryotic small subunit ribosomal RNA", at positions 626 to 1094 of the family's 1831-position model. The record is from RNAcentral.
GCCCGUAGUUGGAUUUGAGAACAUUGUCCGCGUUUGCGCCCCUCGAGUCGGCUCGCUGGCUCUUGGGAUUGCGGAAACACAUUAAGGUGAUGUUCUACUCAAAUGCGGGACUGGUUGUCGGUCCGAUUCUCUUCAUUGAGGAAAGGACACCUACGGAUUCUCACACUCCAAAAGACACGCCCGCAGAUGUCACUGUGAGUAAAACAGAGUGUUCAAGGCAACCGACUGUGUUCGGUUGAAUGUUAAAGCAUGGAAUGACAAGGGAUCGACCACUUCGGCCUCUUUUUGUUGGUUUUCAAGCCUCAGUGCGGUAAACUGGUGCGGGGAGUCCCGCUUGGCUGUGUCUUUCGGGACCACCAAGCGAGCCCUCGCACAUCCGGGAUCAACAGGAGCACAGGGGGUCAUGAGUACUGGAGGGUGAGUGGUGAAAUACUGAGACCCCUCCAAGACUGACAUCAGCGAAAAGCACUUGACUAUUGUGCUUUCAUUAAUCAAGGACGAGAGAUAGGGGAUCGAAGAGGAUUAGACACCCUCGUAGUCCUUUCCUUAAACUCUGCAAACUUGGAUCGGUCAGCGCUCUCUUUCCUGACCCGAUCGGGCACCUCCCCCU